CCCUCUUCUGGCAUUCACCCUCCCCCAACACACACACCACCUUUCUGAGUCACAGUUGGCUGUGACAGCCAAGUCUCCCUAGCCUCAGGGUCAUCAAAGCCAAAGCCAGACCUGUAUACAGCCCAGUACACCCAAGUGCCCAAUGCUCUAUAUUCCUGCCCUCACAGGAAGUUCUGUCUCUUUUAAUCUUUACAAAAAUCAGUGAGGUGUUAACUGUUUUAUGUUAAAGACUGGUCAUCUUAAGCUCAGAGGACUGUGUUAUUUGCCCCCAGGUCACUGAGUUAGAAAGCAGUAAGGCCAAGAUUUAAACCAGAUCAGUCUAGUAUCAGAACAGGUAAUUGCCUUAUUGCCCUUAUAGCAUAGCCCCAACCUUGGGAAAGGAUCCUGGUGGUUUAAAUUAAUCCCAAGGAGUCAUUGACUCCUGGCUCUUCUACUGGGGGAGAUGCACAGUGAUCCUGAACAUUUCUAUAACCUUAACCACAUUCUAUAUGGUGAGAACUAAGGCAAGGUCACUACACUCUCCCUCAGAUAAGAUAAGUGAUGAAGCCUCCCUGACAGAGUUGUGAAAAUUUAACAGAGUUGUGAAAAUUAAGGAUUAGUACAGAUAAGGUUUGAGCGUAAGCCAGGUUAUCCAUGAAGGAGUGUAUAAAGGAUUCAAGAAACAAGUGGUGUUUUCCUUAAUCCAAAUGUUAAUCAACGAUAGUUGACAUUAUUUUGUUGCAUGCUGUUUGAAAUGCUUUGAUUAAAUGUGUAGUCUAUAUAUAAUAAAUGCUGACUAAUAAAAUUGAAUUUUUAUACCUGACCUCUUACCAAAAAAAAAAAAAAAGUUGAUUUCCAGCUUAUAAUGUCAUCACACCAUUCCUUUUAACCUAGAAAAAAA
RNAcentral lists this long non-coding RNA (880 nucleotides) under Marmota monax (woodchuck). The record is from RNAcentral. Lineage: Eukaryota; Metazoa; Chordata; Mammalia; Rodentia; Sciuridae.